This 413-nucleotide ribosomal RNA is filed under the name uncultured bacterium. Its description in RNAcentral is "bacterial SSU rRNA". It matches the Rfam family "Bacterial small subunit ribosomal RNA", at positions 29 to 457 of the family's 1533-position model. The record is from RNAcentral.
AACGAACGCUGGCGGCAUGCCUAACACAUGCAAGUCGAACGAACUCUUCGGAGUUAGUGGCGCACGGGUGCGUAACGCGUGGGAAUCUGCCCUUGGGUACGGAAUAACUCAGAGAAAUUUGUGCUAAUACCGUAUAAUGACUUCGGUCCAAAGAUUUAUCGCCCAAGGAUGAGCCCGCGUAAGAUUAGCUAGUUGGUGAGGUGUUGGUGGGGUAAAAGCCUACCAAGGCGACGAUCUUUAGCUGGUCUGAGAGGAUGAUCAGCCACACUGGGACUGAGACACGGCCCAGACUCCUACGGGAGGCAGCAGUGGGGAAUAUUGGACAAUGGGCGAAAGCCUGAUCCAGCAAUGCCGCGUGAGUGAUGAAGGCCUUAGGGUUGUAAAGGCUCUUUUACCCGGGUAUGAUAAUGACA